CGGUGCGCCUUAUGCAUGCAAGUCGAGCGAAGCUUUUCAGUAGUUUACUACAGAAAAUGACUGAGCGGCGAACGGGUGAGUAACGCGUGAGCAAUCUACCUUAGUUACAGGGAUAGCCCGAGGAAACUCGGAUUAAUACCUGAUAUUCUUUACAUUUCGCAUGAAAUCAAAAGGAAAGGUCAGCCGAACUAAGAUGAGCUCGCGUUCUAUCAGCUAGUUGGUGAGGUAAAAGCUCACCAAGGCAACGACGGAUAGCUGGUCUGAGAGGACGAUCAGCCACACUGGGACUGAGACACGGCCCAGACUCCUACGGGAGGCUGCAGCAGGGAAUAUUGCGCAAUGAGCGAAAGCUUGACGCAGCGACACCGCGUGUGGGAUGACGGAUCUAGGUUUGUAAACCACUUUCAGGAGGGAAGAAAAUGACGGUACCUCCACAAGAAGCCCCGGCCA
This 450-nucleotide ribosomal RNA is filed under the name uncultured bacterium. RNAcentral describes it as "bacterial SSU rRNA". It matches the Rfam family "Bacterial small subunit ribosomal RNA", at positions 40 to 499 of the family's 1533-position model. The record is from RNAcentral.